Molecule: ribosomal RNA, 468 nt
Filed under: uncultured bacterium
Lineage: Bacteria
Description: partial 16S ribosomal RNA
Rfam family: Bacterial small subunit ribosomal RNA
Source: RNAcentral
GACGAACGCUGGCGGCGUGCUUAACACAUGCAAGUCGAACGGAAAGGCCCUGCUUUUGUGGGGUGCUCGAGUGGCGAACGGGUGAGUAACACGUGAGUAACCUGCCCUUGACUUUGGGAUAACUUCAGGAAACUGGGGCUAAUACCGGAUAGGAGCUCCUGCUGCAUGGUGGGGGUUGGAAAGUUUCGGCGGUUGGGGAUGGACUCGCGGCUUAUCAGCUUGUUGGUGGGGUAGUGGCUUACCAAGGCUUUGACGGGUAGCCGGCCUGAGAGGGUGACCGGCCACAUUGGGACUGAGAUACGGCCCAGACUCCUACGGGAGGCAGCAGUGGGGAAUAUUGCACAGUGGGCGGAAGCCUGAUGCAGCAACUCCGCGUGCGGGAUGACGGCCUUCGGGUUGUAAACCGCUUUCGCCUGUGACGAAGCGUGAGUGACAGUAAUGGGUAAAGAAGCACCGGCUAACUACGUG